ACCCAGAAAAAAGAGUUUUUAGCCUUAUUUAGCAUUUUUAAAACUAGUGAAAUUUACACAAGCCACAAGCAAUUCAUCGGUUUGAGUAUUGACAACACUAAACUACCAGUCUUAAAAAUUGCGCAAACCAAGCAAAUUAAAGCACUGCUAGACAAGGGGAUGACGGCCAUUAUCCCCACCGACACGCAAAUAGGAUUAAUGAGUUAUUGCCAACAAGAUUUAGACCACAUUAAACAACGCGAUCCCAACAAGCACUACGUCCAGUU
RNAcentral lists this small RNA (266 nucleotides) under Mycoplasmoides pneumoniae M129. RNAcentral describes it as "Mycoplasma pneumoniae M129 ncRNA". The record is from RNAcentral. Lineage: Bacteria; Bacillati; Mycoplasmatota; Mycoplasmoidales; Mycoplasmoidaceae.